AGUGAACGCUGGCGGUAGGCCUAACACAUGCAAGUCGAACGGCAGCACAGGAGAGCUUGCUCUCUGGGUGGCGAGUGGCGGACGGGUGAGGAAUACAUCGGAAUCUACUUUUUCGUGGGGGAUAACGUAGGGAACCUUACGCUAAUACCGCAUACGACCUACGGGUGAAAGCAGGGGACCUUCGGGCCUGUCGCGAUUGAAUGAGCCGAUUUAGGAUUAGCUAGUUGGCGGGGUAAAGGCCCACCAAGGCGACGAUCCGUAGCUGGUCUGAGAGGAUGAUCAGCCACACUGGAACUGAGACACGGUCCAGACUCCUACGGGAGGCAGCAGUGGGGAAUAUUGGACAAUGGGCGCAAGCCUGAUCCAGCCAUACCGCGUGGGUGAAGAAGGCCUUCGGGUUGUAAAGCCCUUUUGUUGGGAAAGAAAUCCAGCUGGCUAAUACCCGGUUGGGAUGACGGUACCCAAAGAAUAAGCACCGGCUAACUUCGUGCCAGCCGCCGCCGUAA
Molecule: ribosomal RNA, 506 nt
Filed under: uncultured bacterium
Lineage: Bacteria
Description: partial 16S ribosomal RNA
Rfam family: Bacterial small subunit ribosomal RNA
Source: RNAcentral